AAAUUGAAGAGUUUGAUCAUGGCUCAGAUUGAACGCUGGCGGCAGGCCUAACACAUGCAAGUCGAACGGUAACAGGAAGCAGCUUGCUGCUUCGCUGACGAGUGGCGGACGGGUGAGUAAUGUCUGGGAAACUGCCUGAUGGAGGGGGAUAACUACUGGAAACGGUGGCUAAUACCGCAUAACGUCGCAAGACCAAAGAGGGGGACCUUCGGGCCUCUUGCCAUCAGAUGUGCCCAGAUGGGAUUAGCUUGUUGGUGAGGUAACGGCUCACCAAGGCGACGAUCCCUAGCUGGUCUGAGAGGAUGACCAGCCACACUGGAACUGAGACACGGUCCAGACUCCUACGGGAGGCAGCAGUGGGGAAUAUUGCACAAUGGGCGCAAGCCUGAUGCAGCCAUGCCGCGUGUAUGAAGAAGGCCUUCGGGUUGUAAAGUACUUUCAGCGGGGAGGAAGGUGUUGUGGUUAAUAACCACAGCAAUUGACGUUACUCGCAGAAGAAGCACCGGCUAACUCCGUGCCAGCAGCCGCGGUAAUACGGAGGGUGCAAGCGUUAAUCGGAAUUACUGGGCGUAAAGCGCACGCAGGCGGUCUGUCAAGUCGGAUGUGAAAUCCCCGGGCUCAACCUGGGAACUGCAUUCGAAACUGGCAGGCUUGAGUCUUGUAGAGGGGGGUAGAAUUCCAGGUGUAGCGGUGAAAUGCGUAGAGAUCUGGAGGAAUACCGGUGGCGAAGGCGGCCCCCUGGACAAAGACUGACGCUCAGGUGCGAAAGCGUGGGGAGCAAACAGGAUUAGAUACCCUGGUAGUCCACGCCGUAAACGAUGUCUACUUGGAGGUUGUGCCCUUGAGGCGUGGCUUCCGGAGCUAACGCGUUAAGUAGACCGCCUGGGGAGUACGGCCGCAAGGUUAAAACUCAAAUGAAUUGACGGGGGCCCGCACAAGCGGUGGAGCAUGUGGUUUAAUUCGAUGCAACGCGAAGAACCUUACCUGGUCUUGACAUCCACAGAACUUUCCAGAGAUGGACUGGUGCCUUCGGGAACUGUGAGACAGGUGCUGCAUGGCUGUCGUCAGCUCGUGUUGUGAAAUGUUGGGUUAAGUCCCGCAACGAGCGCAACCCUUAUCCUUUGUUGCCAGCGGUUAGGCCGGGAACUCAAAGGAGACUGCCAGUGAUAAACUGGAGGAAGGUGGGGAUGACGUCAAGUCAUCAUGGCCCUUACGACCAGGGCUACACACGUGCUACAAUGGCGCAUACAAAGAGAAGCGACCUCGCGAGAGCAAGCGGACCUCAUAAAGUGCGUCGUAGUCCGGAUUGGAGUCUGCAACUCGACUCCAUGAAGUCGGAAUCGCUAGUAAUCGUGGAUCAGAAUGCCACGGUGAAUACGUUCCCGGGCCUUGUACACACCGCCCGUCACACCAUGGGAGUGGGUUGCAAAAGAAGUAGGUAGCUUAACCUUCGGGAGGGCGCUUACCACUUUGUGAUUCAUGACUGGGGUGAAGUCGUAACAAGGUAACCGUAGGGGAACCUGCGGUUGGAUCACCUCCUUACCUUAAAGAA
This 1552-nucleotide ribosomal RNA is filed under the name Salmonella enterica subsp. enterica serovar Weltevreden. Its description in RNAcentral is "bacterial SSU rRNA". It matches the Rfam family "Bacterial small subunit ribosomal RNA". Lineage: Bacteria; Pseudomonadati; Pseudomonadota; Gammaproteobacteria; Enterobacterales; Enterobacteriaceae. The record is from RNAcentral.